RNAcentral lists this long non-coding RNA (1055 nucleotides) under Aquila chrysaetos chrysaetos. RNAcentral describes it as "lncRNA (ENSACCG00020008900.1)". The record is from RNAcentral. Lineage: Eukaryota; Metazoa; Chordata; Aves; Accipitriformes; Accipitridae.
CCUGGGGGGGGUCUCAGCACACCACCACACACCAAAAGACCCCCAAAUUUUCCUGUCUCACCUGUUUCGCACAAUGUUAAUGGCCAGAAGAAGAACCAGAGCAGCUCCUCCAGCUCUUCUGGAUCUAUACCCAGCGUAACGGUCGCAUUGCCUGCUGUGUGGUCAUACACGUGUGUGCUGGCAAGGGCUGCAGGGAAGUACCUGUCUUGCUCUGCCUCAGCUGUGGAGGAAAAGAGCAGAAAAAUGCAACAGUUACUGCAAUACUUCAGGCUAGAAAUGGACUUCCCCGUGGCUCCCAGGGUUGCCCAGCACGUCUCUCCAAGCAGGCAGAACGCAGCCGUGAGGGCACAGCCUUAUCUCAUGCACCGAGAAAUGGAGAGCGUUUCUGGCUCACACUGCAGAUCCCAUUAUGGUGGGGCACCCAGGGUUGGAAAGACCCCAGGAUGCUGACUGUGCCUUUCUACAUUCCCCAGCAGCGUGUGUGUGUGGCACAUACCUGCUUUCUCCUUGCACACGCUCCUGUCUGCAACAUCUUGCCAUUGGGCCUUGAGGCCUCUCACUUUAUCGAGAGCGACUCCUUUCCUGUUUGCCACCAGGUAGCCCUGGCUACUGCCCACUGGAGAGAGCAGCGAAUUCAAGCAGUCCCAGCUUGUGUAGCCCAAGCUGCCACAGAGACUUGUCUGCACUCUGUUGGCUCCCACCACGGAGAGGCAGCUCUGUGUGCCGUGAUUCAUCAAAGAAUCACCUUGCCAAGACCAGUCCUGGAAAUCUGACUCUGGAUUACAGUCCUCCAGCAAUAAAUUCCCAUUCAUCGGGCUGGCUUGUAAACACAACUUGACUUUAGCAUUUUUCAUCAGAAAAGCUUCAGUGUCUGCAAAGAAACCAGCACGUCAGUGUGGCCACCCCCUAAGCACAGGACAUAUACACACACAGAGUAUAUAGGGCAGAUGGGAAUGACACCCAAUUCUGGAACGGGGAAAUCAGCGUAGGGCAAAAGGCAUUCAAGAGGCAAACUGUCUCCAGGCCAGCUUCUCUCUGCCAGGGCUGCUGGGCUC